This 618-nucleotide ribosomal RNA is filed under the name uncultured bacterium. RNAcentral's name for it is "bacterial SSU rRNA". The stretch from base 1 to 519 matches the Rfam family "Bacterial small subunit ribosomal RNA", at positions 338 to 873 of the family's 1533-position model. The record is from RNAcentral.
CCUACGGGAGGCAGCAGUGGGGAAUAUUGGACAAUGGGCGAAAGCCUGAUCCAGCAAUGCCGCGUGAGUGAUGAAGGCCUUAGGGUUGUAAAGCUCUUUUACCAGGGAUGAUAAUGACAGUACCUGGAGAAUAAGCUCCGGCUAACUCCGUGCCAGCAGCCGCGGUAAUACGGAGGGAGCUAGCGUUGUUCGGAAUUACUGGGCGUAAAGAGUACGUAGGCGGUGAUUCAAGUCAGAGGUGAAAGCCUGGAGCUCAACUCCAGAACUGCCUUUGAAACUAGAUCGCUAGAAUCAUGGAGAGGUUAGUGGAAUUCCGAGUGUAGAGGUGAAAUUCGUAGAUAUUCGGAAGAACACCAGUGGCGAAGGCGACUAACUGGACAUGUAUUGACGCUGAGGUACGAAAGCGUGGGGAGCAAACAGGAUUAGAUACCCUGGUAGUCCACGCCGUAAACGAUGAUAACUAGCUGUUCGGGGUCUACGAUCCUGAGUGGCGCNGCUACGACAUUAAGUUAGUCCGUCCGUCGGGUAGGUACGGUCGGCGAGAAGUUAAACGUUAACGUAAAGUUAAAGUUAGUACGGCGUUGAGACGUUGCCGACGGACGACGACGAGGGAGGAGG